Non-coding RNA from Sphingomonas sp. SKA58, 632 nucleotides. Lineage: Bacteria; Pseudomonadati; Pseudomonadota; Alphaproteobacteria; Sphingomonadales; Sphingomonadaceae. The record is from Rfam.
UCUCAAGCGUGAGGUAAGGGCAUCUGGUGAAUGCCUUGGCAUGUACAGGCGAUGAAGGACGUGGCACGCUGCGAUAAGCGUGGGGGAGCUGUGAGCAAGCUUUGAUCCCGCGAUUUCCGAAUGGGACAACCCACCUUCACCAUUUAAGACUGGUCCAGCCUUCUGGCUGGCCCCGUGUUAAAUGGGAGAGGUAUCACUAAGCUGAAUAAAAUAGGCUUUGGUGAAGCGAACCCGGAGAACUGAAACAUCUCAGUACCCGGAGGAAAAGACAUCAACCGAGAUUCCGUUAGUAGUGGCGAGCGAACGCGGACCAGGCCAGCGCCUGAUAUUUAGUUAGCAGAACGAUCUGGAAAGUUCGGCCAUAGCGGGUGACAGCCCCGUAUGUGAAAGCGAAAUAUCAGGACUUGAGUAGGGCGGAGCACGUGAAACUCUGUCUGAACAUGGGGGGACCACCCUCCAAGCCUAAAUACUCGUACAUGACCGAUAGCGAACCAGUACCGUGAGGGAAAGGUGAAAAGCACCCCGAUGAGGGGAGUGAAACAGUACCUGAAACCGGAUGCCUACAAGCAGUGGGAGGGUCCUUGAGACCUGACCGCGUACCUCUUGCAUAAUGGGUCUGUGACUUAGUGUAU